GUGCAAGGACAGCACCCCGCCGUGGCUCUGCAAGGUCAAGUGCGCCACUGGCUGCCCCUUGAGCGGCCCCGGCCACACCUUCAAUGGGAUACUCGUCUGCUUCGACGCCUGCAACUCGGACUCCAUCUGUGACCUGCCGGCGCCAUUGGCCAGUAAGACACGAGAACCACCUUGUCCGACUUACAUUCAUAGAAUAUGUGUUCAUUUCACAGAGGGAAACGGAAUCGUCUGUUCUGAUGAUCUUGGCCCUUUCUGCAGAUGCUGAGGUUUGUAAGCAUUGGUGCUUGGGCGCCAACUAACCUUGAAGAGCCAAGGGCCGGUCGGUCAUGGGAUCACAAAUUCACAAUCAGUCCAUAAAAUGGCUCUGAUUUCUGCACCAGUCAAUAAAAUGUGUUUCUCUUUGUGCAUCACUUGUGAGAGAAUUUGUUAAUCUUAAAAUAAAGUGUGACAAAUCCCUGUUUGUUUGACUCGGCUAUGAUUUUUCCUUCCUCUGUUCAGAUGACAAGGGCAAACUGUUUUAUCUUCU
RNAcentral lists this long non-coding RNA (526 nucleotides) under Triticum aestivum (bread wheat). RNAcentral's name for it is "long non-coding RNA (TAES_LNC019137)". Lineage: Eukaryota; Viridiplantae; Streptophyta; Magnoliopsida; Poales; Poaceae. The record is from RNAcentral.